This 758-nucleotide ribosomal RNA is filed under the name Vibrio sp. UOH-10. Its description in RNAcentral is "bacterial SSU rRNA". It matches the Rfam family "Bacterial small subunit ribosomal RNA", at positions 48 to 784 of the family's 1533-position model. The record is from RNAcentral. Lineage: Bacteria; Pseudomonadati; Pseudomonadota; Gammaproteobacteria; Vibrionales; Vibrionaceae.
CUAACACAUGCAAGUUCGAGCGGAAACGACACUAACAAUCCUUCGGGUGCGUUAAUGGGCGUCGAGCGGCGGACGGGUGAGUAAUGCCUAGGAAAUUGCCUUGAUGUGGGGGAUAACCAUUGGAAACGAUGGCUAAUACCGCAUAAUGCCUACGGGCCAAAGAGGGGGACCUUCGGGCCUCUCGCGUCAAGAUAUGCCUAGGUGGGAUUAGCUAGUUGGUGAGGUAAUGGCUCACCAAGGCGACGAUCCCUAGCUGGUCUGAGAGGAUGAUCAGCCACACUGGAACUGAGACACGGUCCAGACUCCUACGGGAGGCAGCAGUGGGGAAUAUUGCACAAUGGGCGAAAGCCUGAUGCAGCCAUGCCGCGUGUAUGAAGAAGGCCUUCGGGUUGUAAAGUACUUUCAGUUGUGAGGAAGGGGGUAGCGUUAAUAGCGCUAUCUCUUGACGUUAGCAACAGAAGAAGCACCGGCUAACUCCGUGCCAGCAGCCGCGGUAAUACGGAGGGUGCGAGCGUUAAUCGGAAUUACUGGGCGUAAAGCGCAUGCAGGUGGUUCAUUAAGUCAGAUGUGAAAGCCCGGGGCUCAACCUCGGAACUGCAUUUGAAACUGGUGAACUAGAGUACUGUAGAGGGGGGUAGAAUUUCAGGUGUAGCGGUGAAAUGCGUAGAGAUCUGAAGGAAUACCAGUGGCGAAGGCGGCCCCCUGGACAGAUACUGACACUCAGAUGCGAAAGCGUGGGGAGCAAACAGGAUUAGAUA